RNAcentral lists this ribosomal RNA (371 nucleotides) under uncultured Anaerolineaceae bacterium. Its description in RNAcentral is "bacterial SSU rRNA". It matches the Rfam family "Bacterial small subunit ribosomal RNA", at positions 996 to 1378 of the family's 1533-position model. The record is from RNAcentral. Lineage: Bacteria; Bacillati; Chloroflexota; Anaerolineae; Anaerolineales; Anaerolineaceae.
GGGAAGCGAAAGCGGACGACCCUUCGGGGAGCCUCUACAGGUGUUGCAUGGCUGUCGUCAGCUCGUGUCGUGAGAUGUUCGGUUAAGUCCGCUAACGAGCGCAACCCUCGCUGUGUGUUACAAGUGUCACACGGUACUGCCGGUAUUAAGUCGGAGGAAGGUGGGGAUGACGUCAAGUCAGCAUGACCUUUAUAUCCAGGGCUACACACACGCUACAAUGGUCAGUACAAUAGGUUGCCAAGCCGCGAGGCGGAGCCAAUCCUAAAAAGCUGGCCUCAGUUCAGAUUGCAGUCUGCAACUCGACUGCAUGAAGUUGGAGUUGCUAGUAACCGCAGGUCAGCUAUACUGCGGUGAAUACGUUCCCGGGGAUU